Molecule: non-coding RNA, 665 nt
Organism: Myodes glareolus (Bank vole)
Lineage: Eukaryota; Metazoa; Chordata; Mammalia; Rodentia; Cricetidae
Source: RefSeq, a predicted model, not a curated record
AGUAAAUUCUUUGAAGACAGGACAAAGGUCAAAACGAUCAGAAGCUAAAAGCUUUUAACUGCAGCCAUUACUUCCAUUUCAUUUUAAGGAGAUCCACCAAGUGCCAGAGAGCUGGCUCACAGUAUGCCGUCUGUGUCAUACAGUGACACUGAAAUGCCACCGGCAGCAUUGUCAUUGUCACAGUGAAGAAGAUGCAGAAGGCUCCAGCUGGAUUUUAUCCCUUCCACGAGGAGCUGCUCCUUCAAGGACACCCUGGGGAUCAUCUCCAAUCAAGAACUGAAAAACCCUCGCCUAUGGCUCAUGUGGAGUCUGUGAAGAGGGGGGAAUGUGGGGAUUGGCAGGCAGAAAUUAGAGAGAAACCUGGAACUCUAUGAGUUGAUCUAGAAGAGUCCCGAGGUACAGCAGUAAGAGAGGCAGGUAAGUAGGGGGAACAAUAAUUCCCAGCAUAACUCCAUUUUUUUAAAAAUUCAAACCACCUGCAGGCGCUUUCUGAUUAUAGGUAUGUGUAUAUAUAUGCAAAUACACAGACAUCCCCCCCAAAAAAAAUGGUGGGGGAGGGUGGGGCCAUGCAGGAGGCAUAGGUAUCUUUCUUAGCAUUGGGAAAAUAAAAGUGACAGAUAUCAUUAAUAUCAAUAAUUAAAAUAAUAGGACGGGGCUGGAGAGCU